This 794-nucleotide non-coding RNA is filed under the name Pan troglodytes (chimpanzee). The record is from RNAcentral. Lineage: Eukaryota; Metazoa; Chordata; Mammalia; Primates; Hominidae.
ACCAGCUCUCGCGACACUUUCCUUGGCCAUGGCGAGAGCACACGAGAAGAGACUCUCGCAAGAAAGUAAAUGAGUCAGGCUGGAAACAGCGAAGUAUAUCUCGCGAUAGCACUGUUUAAAAUGGCGGCCUCAAGGCGUUUCACGGGUGUCCCGGACAGGCGUGGAGGUGGGGCGCAGGCGAGGAUGAAGCUUGAGUUGGCCGGGAGUCGGAAAACGAUUGCAGGCGGGACCGCGUCCGUCGGGGCUGAGGAAACUUAGCGUGGCAGACCCUAAACUGGGAUAACUUUAGGGAUAUGGCCUUCUUUUCCCAAUUGCCUCAAACUUAGAGCAGCGUCGUCUUUAGCUGAAGAUUCAUUUUCCCAGCGUUUUCCUUCUCCAGGCGGAGUAGUUGGAGACAGAGGGCAAGCCAGAAACUGACCUUCCCAUCUCCUCAUUCCCUUCCAUCAAGAACUUUUCAUCGUUCUUUCCCCACCCUGGUUUGUAAAUGGUAUUUGGCUUCAUAAAAACGUUUGUCCACAGGUGCCCUGCUCCAUCAGUUCGCCCCAGCAAUAUAGGAAGUUACCAAAAGAAAAAAAUUUUUUAUUGACGUUGGAUGCAGAAAGGAACCGCGUUGGUGUGUGAUUUGAAUUUUGGACUUCUUGUUUCCUGCCCUGCGGCCACGUCCCCCUUACUUGGUGACUCUCAGCACUUAGUUGUGGGGCUUUUUCUCUCUGCUCUCAGACAACUAUAAAAGCAGACUAAUUGAACAGCAUCUAGAACAGAAGGUGGAUGUAAAGAACAUUGGUCGGCCGGGC